This 494-nucleotide long non-coding RNA is filed under the name Vulpes vulpes (red fox). RNAcentral's name for it is "lncRNA (ENSVVUG00000016048.1)". Lineage: Eukaryota; Metazoa; Chordata; Mammalia; Carnivora; Canidae. The record is from RNAcentral.
GGGCAGCGUUUGGGGCACCUCUGGUGGCAGCUGGCUGACACCAAGCUUGUGGGGCUUAUCGCAUGGGACACAUGAACGAAGAAGGGUUUCCGAAGUGUCUUUAGAUAACCUCUAGGAAGAGGAAAACCAGGGGUUCAGAUGUCCUGUCUCAGGUUGAGAAGUCACUUCUCAACCCAUUCUCAUCAUUGUGAAAUUUAGCAUGAAAUGACUGCCUUGAGACCCUGGAGCAGGGUUACCCCCUCUCCGUUCUGCAGCCAUCAACGUCUACAAGCAUGCCAUCGUGUUCUCUUAAAGUAUCUGAAGAUCAACACAUUACCUCACCAAGAAGAUUCAAUCUCCUCUCAAAGAUGACCCCAUGUAGUCUACAUGUGCAAAAGAAUGUUUCUGCCACUUAAUGGUGGUGCAGUUUCCUCCAUUCUGCAAUGAAAACAUUGAAGAACAAGCUUACUUUCUGGACAAAUAAAGGUUUUUGUUUUCGUUUUGUAGGAAUUUUG